AUGGCCAACCCCUCCAUGGCGGCCGGCGGCGGGGUGCCGUGGGCGGAGGGGGCCCGCGCCGUCGGGGCCCAGAUCCGCAACCGCCUCCGCGUGGCGCCCGUCGACCGCCGCUGGCUCUGGCGCCGCCCCGAGGGCCGCGCCGCCUCCGAGGCCGUCCGCCAGUGGUCCGACCGCCUCCGCGCCAUCCUGCACCGGGACAAGCAGGGGCCCGACCAGCAGCAGCAGCAGCAGGGCCCCGCCUCCCCCGACGCCGCGGCGGCGGCGAAGGCGAAGCCCUCCUCCAGCGCUCUCAGGUUCUACAGGAAGAAAGUGGGCAAAGAGGUUAACGGGGUCGAAGAUUCCGUGAUUUUCCGCUCGCUCCAAGCACUGGCCGUUCCUCUAAUUGGCAAUGCUUGCUAUGUUUUUAUGCACGGCCUUAACUCUGUCCAGAUUUAUGGUGCGGAGAAACUUCAGCAGGCAUUACAAGAGAGGCCUAAAGACAAACCUCUUCUAACGGUCAGCAAUCACGUGGCUGCUAUGGAUGACCCUUUUGUAAUUGCGUCCCUUCUGCCACCAUCUGUUAUGAUGGAAGCACAAAAGCUGAGAUGGACACUAUGUGCGACUGAUCGUUGCUUUACAAAUCCAGUUCUGUCCACCUUCUUCAGGUCUGUUAAAGUGUUGCCUGUUAACCGUGGUGAAGGCAUCUACCAAAAGGGAAUGGAUAUGGCGCUCUCAAAGCUUAAUAAUGGUGGAUGGGUUCAUAUAUUUCCUGAAGGAAGUCGUUCAAAGGAUGGAGGGAAAACCAUUGCUCCUGCUAAGAGAGGUGUUGGAAGAUUGGUAAUGGAUGCUGACAGCCUACCGGUUGUUGUCCCCUUUGUCCAUACUGGGAUGCAGGACAUAAUGCCUGUUGGGAAACGUAUCCCAAGAACAGGCAAAAGGGUGAUAGUGGUUGUUGGCGACCCAAUCAACUUUGACGACCUGAUGGCUGAGAACAGCAACGACUCCCAACAUAUUUCUAGAGGUGACCUGUAUGACAAAGUAACCGAAAGGAUUGGGCAGCGGCUGCAGCAACUGAAGGUGGAGGUCGACAGAUUGGCGGCAGAGCAGAAGGCCGAGCUCCAAAACUGUCACACAGCCGACACAGUCAACGACGGGUACAAGGUGUGGCAGCAGGUCGACUGGGAGUCGUUCGGCAUAGGGAACAUGCUGUCAGCAGCCGCCGAGCAUUCGUCAGCCCAAGAGCCCCCAAAGCAGAUCCAGCACGAAGUGCUCCUGGCGGAACAAAGCGUGUCUCCAGCAAAGCAGGCAGAGCCCGAGCCGCGCCUCGAGGAGGAACAGAGCGUUUUUUCUCCAAUCUCUCGCGUCCCACACUGGUUCAGCCGGCACACGGACGCCUCGGAGCUCAUGGGGUUCGCCGCGCGCGGCCUUGUCAGGAACGGCAGGUCCAUGCAGGAGGGGUACCGGCAGUUCCAGGAGCCGUCGGCGUUCAACGCCUGGUGGGAGGCGCAGACGAGCAGCGCGAUGAUGCCCAGGUGGAGCACUGCUUGA
RNAcentral lists this ribosomal RNA (1527 nucleotides) under Triticum aestivum (bread wheat). RNAcentral's name for it is "partial small subunit ribosomal RNA". The record is from RNAcentral. Lineage: Eukaryota; Viridiplantae; Streptophyta; Magnoliopsida; Poales; Poaceae.